Molecule: ribosomal RNA, 506 nt
Filed under: uncultured bacterium
Lineage: Bacteria
Description: partial 16S ribosomal RNA
Rfam family: Bacterial small subunit ribosomal RNA
Source: RNAcentral
AGUGAACGCUGGCGGUAGGCCUAACACAUGCAAGUCGAACGGCAGCACAGGAGAGCUUGCUCUCUGGGUGGCGAGUGGCGGACGGGUGAGGAAUACAUCGGAAUCUACUCUGUCGUGGGGGAUAACGUAGGGAAACUUACGCUAAUACCGCAUACGACCUACGGGUGAAAGCAGGGGACCUUCGGGCCUUGCGCGAUUGAAUGAGCCGAUGUCGGAUUAGCUAGUUGGCGGGGUAAAGGCCCACCAAGGCGACGAUCCGUAGCUGGUCUGAGAGGAUUAUCAGCCACACUGGAACUGAGACACGGUCCAGACUCCUACGGGAGGCAGCAGUGGGGAAUAUUGGACAAUGGGCGCAAGUCUGAUCCAGCCAUACCGCGUGGGUGAAGAAGGCCUUCGGGUUGUAAAGCCCUUUUGUUGGGAAAGAAAUCCAGCUGGCUAAUACCCGGUUGGGAUGACGGUACCCAAAGAAUAAGCACCGGCUAACUUCGUGCCAGCCGCCGCGGUAA